AACCCAAAAAAAAAAAAGAAAAUCUCCUUUCAGAGGCAUAAGGAGGAACAAAGUGAAAUGAUGUGAAUCUAUUGAAGACUUGGCUCAGAUCUAAGAUGGUCAUCUCUGCUUUGAAGACAUUCAACUCGAGCUGAUUCACCAAAGCUAAAUCCCCACAUAAUGUGAUUCAGCUUGAAUCUUUUGUGGGUCUUGGUUAGUUUUGUUAACUUUGCACUGUGCACACGGGAUCUUGAGGAGUAGAAGAUAGCGCUG
Molecule: unclassified non-coding RNA, 252 nt
Filed under: Hevea brasiliensis (rubber tree)
Lineage: Eukaryota; Viridiplantae; Streptophyta; Magnoliopsida; Malpighiales; Euphorbiaceae
Source: RNAcentral